This 2965-nucleotide unclassified non-coding RNA is filed under the name Hevea brasiliensis (rubber tree). Lineage: Eukaryota; Viridiplantae; Streptophyta; Magnoliopsida; Malpighiales; Euphorbiaceae. The record is from RNAcentral.
AUCCACAGCAUACUGCAUUUCCAAGAAGAUAGCUGAAUCCUUAAUAAUAGACAAGUAAUUUCUUGCAUGCAAGAAUAAUCCUUGAUAACUGUAUUUAAGGAAUAAUCAACAAGCAAAUCUCAAUUUUUCCCCUCUUCAUUCGCUUUCAGGAGAUUCAACCAUUGUUUUACAAGAAAUUUUACAUGGACAUUUUUAUUCGAUGGGGAAUCCAUGCAAUACAAGUAUAGUAUGCAAUGAACAAACAAAGGGCAUAUAAUGUUCAAAUCACAACAAAUAUCAAAUAUCAAGGCUUGACAAUGCCAGAUGUCCAAAAUCUUUCCACCUUUUACAAAUAGCAUAUUGACUUGCAAGCCAUAUAAAAUUUCUGAAACGACAGUGUCUACUGUCUAGGGCCUCUAGGCUUGGGGUUCUUUCAUCACCAAGAACAACCAUAGAGAUUGCGACAAUUUUCCCAACCACAAAAACUCAAUAUUUAGUGAUGGUAACAGAAAAAAAAUUCCAAGGGUAAUAACCCUCAUUGCUGCUAUGUUAUUGUCAAUAUUCAAUACAUAUGUUUCCCCAAAAUCCAUCCGGAGAGUUAUAAAAAUGGUGAGGGCAACAAACUGGGUUUGUUCCUUGAUUUCUCAACUAGCUAAUGCUUUUACUGCUUUCUCCGCAGCAUCAUCCAAGUCUUCCGCUGUGAUUAGCGCCAUUCCACUUUCCUUGAGAAUUCUCUUUCCUAGGUCAACAUUAGUGCCUUCUAGACGAACCACCACAGGUACUUUUAGUGCAACCUGUUUGGCUGCAUUAACAAUUCCACUUGCUAUCACAUCACAUCUCAUUAUUCCUCCAAAUAUGUUCACUAAAAUUGAUUUAACCUUAUCAUCAGAAGUCAAUAUUUUAAAUGCCUCAACCACCUGGCCCUCAGAUGCAUUCCCACCAACAUCAAGAAAAUUGGCAGGAGUUCCGCCAUGCAAUUUAAUUAUAUCCAUCGUAGCCAUUGCUAAUCCAGCACCAUUCACCAUGCAACCAAUUUCUCCAUCAAGGCCAAUAUAAUUCAAAUCUGCCUUGGCAGCAGCCACCUAUCAAAAGAUAAAAAGCAUAAGAAAAGAGAGAUUAAUAGAGCAUUUCAUCAUCUUUUAGCUGAACAAAAUGCAGAAAAAUUUCCGAGUCAGUGCACAAGUGAGAGAGGUGCAUACACCCAUCUGGUCAAUCUUAAAUGGCACUCCUUGUAUUAUUAAAGAAGGGUAAACAAAAUAACUAGUAUGUCCGUAAGAUGUCAAUGCCGCUUCAUUUUUCCCUCCCUUUGACAAGAGAAAAAAAUUGAUUCAUGUUCAGAGUAUAGGAUAUUUUAGUCAUUAUCAUUUUGCUUUCAUGCAUUCUGUGAAUAGCUUUGUUUCUUAUGGGGGCACUACAGCCUAUGAAUGGGACCUUCUCUUUUGGUGUCUUUUAUUAAAUAGUCUUCAAUUUAUUGAUAAGCAAAACCUCAACUCAACUCAGUCUCAGUCCAACCUAAUUUUGCUUUUUCAAAUGUGAAUUAAAUAGUCCUUGACUUAAAGAAAAACAUGCACUUCUAUUCCUUCCAUUACAUUUUAGUCCUCACCAACAUUUUAGGAAUUAAAGGUUGUUUGAUUUGAAAAAGCAAGAACUAAAAUGAUGUUCAAUGUAAAAUUUUAGGAACUAAGAAUAUAACAUUUUCAUGAAAAGACUCAAGUUUACAAGAAUAAGAAAGUUGAGUAUCAUUUAAUUCAUUUAUAGAAUAUAAAAAGAUUCAAGUGUAAUUUUGCCAAAUGUUAGAACAUCUUUUUGUAAUUUACACAAACUAAAAAUGUAUACACUCUAAGAAACUUAUUCUAAUGUUUUAUUGCAACCAAACCUCUCGAGCAUCCUCCUGUGUUGGAUCAUGGAGAUUAAAUAUCUCUUUCUGACGAAAUGCAGCAUUAUCAUCAAAGUUCAGCUUAGCAUCAGCAGCUACCAACUGGUUAUCAGAUGUCUCAGCUAUGGGAUUGAUCAGCAAAGCGAACCAAGAUUGUUCAAAGUAAGAUAUCCAUACAAGAAAGAAUAUGCAAAAGCGGCAAUUGGAGGCUGGGGGUUGAUAUUUCAAAUAGAGUCACAGAAAAUGAUAUUUAUACUCACUUCCAACAAAGUGCAAUCACACUCACAAAAAAGCUUAUAUAAUUUCUUCACUUGCUCAAUUGAAUCUUUUCUAUCAGCCACUUUUGGAGCUAAUCCAUCUACAACUUUUGCAGCAUCUUCGUCAGUAAUUCCUUUAAAUACAUCGAUAGGAACCUUAAUAAUCAAGUCAGGAAAUUUCUCUGCAAGGUCUUCAAUGCUGGUUCCCCCCUUUUUACAGGCAAUAAUAAGUGGGCCGGCAGUUUGACGAUCCAGCAUGAUAGCAAAGUACAUCUCAUUGACAAGUGAUAACUUUUCACAUAGGUAAACCUUGCUGACAACUUUUCCUUGAGGACCAGUUUGCUUGGUAACAAGUAUUUGACCAAGCAUCGUUCCAACUGUCUCUUCAACCUUGUCAGCCUUAACAAUGUGAACUCCACCCUCAAAGCCAUUCUUAAAUUUCCCUAAGCCUCGUCCACCAGCCAAAAUUUGACUCUUAACCACCAAAUCAUUUUCAUUAGGGAACAGUUCUUGAAUUGCCUUCCUGACCUCACCAACAGACGAAACAGCCCCUCCCUUUGGGACGUUGAUCCCGUACUUGCUCAUCAAAUCAGCUCCCUGAUACUCAUGGAUGUUGAGACGGCGGAGUUGCUGCUGCUGCCAUUUUCCGGCGACGGAGAGGGAGCGAGAAACCAGCUUGUUUAGCAAUUCUCUCAUUAUGCUUAUUCACAGAGAUCAACUUCCCACACUAGAUACGAAAAUGUCACGGAAAGAGUGAGAGAGAGGUGAGAGGAGAGGAUUACCAGAAUCAGUCGGGUCAAGAGAAAAGAGAAGCUAGACGGACCGUAGAUUUUUCAGUUUUCCUUGAUUCCUU